Molecule: ribosomal RNA, 233 nt
Filed under: uncultured bacterium
Lineage: Bacteria
Description: partial 16S ribosomal RNA
Rfam family: Bacterial small subunit ribosomal RNA
Source: RNAcentral
UGGGCAACCUGCCCUCAGCACUGGGAUAACCCCGGGAAACCGGGGCUAAUACCGGAUACGACCUCGGCGGGCAUCCGCUGAGGUGGAAAGUGUCAGUGGCUGAGGAUGGGCCCGCGGCCUAUCAGCUUGUUGGUGGGGUAACGCCUACCAAGGCGACGACGGGUAGCUGAUCUGAGAGGAUGGCCAGCCACAUUGGGACUGAGACACGGCCCAGACUCCGUACGGGGAGGCCA